Molecule: long non-coding RNA, 1338 nt
Organism: Glycine soja
Lineage: Eukaryota; Viridiplantae; Streptophyta; Magnoliopsida; Fabales; Fabaceae
Exons: 4
Source: RefSeq, a predicted model, not a curated record
UCUGGUGUCUUAGGUGGAAUGAAUUUUUCUAUUCCUUAAUGGAUGACAAUAAAGAUAAACUCGUAACUCCUCAUGUCCUUCAGUACUUGUAACUCCUAUCUUGAAUGUGAUGACUAAUUUCUCACCGUCUAUCUUAAAUACAAUGGAGCUCAUUGUUGGAGGUAGGUUAGCCCACGUGUCAAGCCCACAACUACCCUGAAAAAACCCCCCAAUUUGAUAAACAUACCACUUUUAGCUUUCCCUACACACAUAAAAGCACGGAAAUCAGAGAGAAAUUUCAAAACUUGAAAUUCAAAAUCCUUUCUCUCUUCUCCUUCCUCACAGUCCUUUCGCUUGGGAUGUGUAUGUGUUCUUUUUGUAGAUGUUGCAAAGUAACAAAGAUCUUCAUAGUUGAUCGGAACCUCUAGCAGAGUUCGUCGUCCGAAUUUCCUCUACCAAGCAACGUUGGUCAAUCUUCAACAUGGUUCUCUCCAAGAAAAUGUUCGAUUUUCAUGUUGGAAAUCAAGAGAUUUGGUGAAAGACUACAACAGAACCUGUUUCUUUGUUUAUAGCAACAUCACAACCGUGCCGGAACUGGCACUACCAACCACCAUCGGUCGAAAGUUCAACAUCUUUCUCACGAGACAGGGAGCUUCUAAGUUAGGAGACUAAAGUGCUAAACUACUGAUCCAACUUCUCCAAGGAUAAUGGAGUUCUGAUCCCCUUAUAAGUUUGAUAGGGAAAAGCGUGAAAACUUGGUGGCAAUGUGACUUUCGAUUAUAUGAAGCAUAUGGUUGGUAUCAAACUCUCAGGUUUUGAUAGCAAUUCAGCUGGAUGAAGAAUAUAUUUUGGAAGAUUGUUAUGAAAGGGGAGCAGAACAUGGAACACUAUGCAGCACCAGAACAAUAUACAAAAUCGAAAGAUGAAGAGGCAGCAAAAACAGAGCAUGCAGUGGAACCAAACAAGGAAGAACGUAGAAGGUCAAAAAGGAAAAUGAACAAGCCUCAGUACCUGAAGGACUAUGCAAUGAAGUAUGGAUGCGCUGGCAGUAGUCUUCUAGAAACAGAAUCCCAAAUCUUUGUGUCGUUAGAUGUUGUCUCCUGGUAGCGUUUUGAUUUUCCUCCAAGGCAUGCUGCCAAAAUCUGUUAAAGAAUUUUCAUCCAGAAUUGUUUAAGAACAUCUAUAAAUAUGAGAGGGGAUGCAAUUCAAUUAUCAGACAAUAAUACAAUUUUCCUUUCCUUCCUUUAUUCUGCUCUGGAGGUUCUAGGCCUCGAAUCCUAGACUGGCCUGUUACUGUGACCCACAACAAAGAUAUUCAAGUGUUUUAUUGGCAAUGGAAUCCCAGAGUUUGUAUACAAA